UGGGGAAUUUUGGACAAUGGGCGAAAGCCUGAUCCAGCAAUGCCGCGUGUGUGAAGGAGGCCUUCGGGUUGUAAAGCACUUUUGUCCGGAAAGAAAUCCUUGGCUCUAAUACAGUCGGGGGAUGACGGUACCGGAAGAAUAAGCACCGGCUAACUACGUGCCAGCAGCCGCGGUAAUACGUAGGGUGCAAGCGUUAAUCGGAAUUACUGGGCGUAAAGCGUGCGCAGGCGGUUUGCUAAGACCGAUGUGAAAUCCCCGGGCUCAACCUGGGAACUGCAUUGGUGACUGGCAGGCUAGAGUAUGGCAGAGGGGGGUAGAAUUCCACGUGUAGCAGUGAAAUGCGUAGAGAUGUGGAGGAAUACCGAUGGCGAAGGCAGCCCCCUGGGCCAAUACUGACGCUCAUGCACGAAAGCGUGGGGAGCAAAACAGGAUUAGAUACCCUGGUAGUCCACGCCCUAAACGAUGUCAACUAGUUGUUGGGGAUUCAUUUCCUUAGUAACGUAGCUAACGCGUGAAGUUGACCGCCUGGGGAGUACGGUCGUAAGAUUAAAACUUAAAGGAAUUGACGGGGUCAUAGCUGUUUCCU
Molecule: ribosomal RNA, 586 nt
Filed under: uncultured bacterium
Lineage: Bacteria
Description: partial 16S ribosomal RNA
Rfam family: Bacterial small subunit ribosomal RNA
Source: RNAcentral